RNAcentral lists this ribosomal RNA (460 nucleotides) under uncultured bacterium. RNAcentral describes it as "partial 16S ribosomal RNA". It matches the Rfam family "Bacterial small subunit ribosomal RNA", at positions 338 to 795 of the family's 1533-position model. The record is from RNAcentral.
CCUACGGGUGGCAGCAGUGAGGAAUAUUGGUCAAUGGGCGAGAGCCUGAACCAGCGAAGCAGCGUGAAGGAUGACUGUCCUACGGGUUUAAAACUCUUUUUAUAGAGGAAUAAAGUGAGGCAGCUGUGCAUUAUUGUAUGUACUUUAUGUAUAAGGAUAGGACAACUCAGUGCCAGCAGCGGAGGUAAUACGGAGGAUGGGAGCGUUGUCCGGAUUUAGUGGGCUUAAAGGGAGCGUAGGUGGGUUGUUAAGUCAGUUGUGAAAGUUUGCGGCUCAACCGUACAAUUGCAAUUGAUACUGGCAGUCUUGAGUACAGGUGAGGUAGGCGGAAUUCGUGGUGUAGCGGUGAAAUGCGUAGAUAUCAGGAAGAACACCAGUUGCGAAGGCAGCUUACUAAACUGCCACUGACAUUGAGGCGCGAAAGUGUGGGUAUCAAACAGGAUUAGAUACCCCAGUAGUC